Molecule: ribosomal RNA, 253 nt
Filed under: uncultured bacterium
Lineage: Bacteria
Description: partial 16S ribosomal RNA
Rfam family: Bacterial small subunit ribosomal RNA
Source: RNAcentral
UACGUAGGCAGCAAGCGUUGUUCGGAAUUACUGGGCGUAAAGCGAGUGUAGGCGGUCUGCCAAGUCUGUUGUGACAUCUCCUGGCUCAACUGGGAGGGUGCGACGGAAACUGGCAGGCUUGAGUGCGGGAGAGGAGAGUGGAAUUCCUGGUGUAGCGGUGAAAUGCGUAGAUAUCAGGAGGAACACCGGUGGUGAAGACGGCUCUCUGGACCGCAACUGACGCUGAGACGCGAAAGCGUGGGGAGCAAAAAGG